RNAcentral lists this ribosomal RNA (555 nucleotides) under uncultured bacterium. RNAcentral describes it as "bacterial SSU rRNA". It matches the Rfam family "Bacterial small subunit ribosomal RNA", at positions 379 to 926 of the family's 1533-position model. The record is from RNAcentral.
CAGUCCGACGGAGCGACGCCGCGUGAAGGAUGAAGGCCCUCGGGUUGUAAACUUCUGUCACGAGUUAUGAACGAUCUGCGGCGAAUAGCCGUAGGUUUUGACAAAGGCUCGAAAGGAAGCACUGGCUAACUCUGUGCCAGCAGCCGCGGUAAUACAGAGAGUGCAAACGUUGUUCGGAAUCACUGGGCUUAAAGCGCACGUAGGCGGCAUUGUAAGUGUCGGGUGAAAUCCCACGGCUCACCCGUGGAACUGCCCGGCAGACUGCAGUGCUCGAGUAUGGUAGGGGAGAGCGGAACUCCUGGUGGAGCGGUGAAAUGCGUAGAUAUCAGGAGGAACACCGGUGGCGAAGGCGGCUCUCUGGUCCAUAACUGACGCUGAGGUGCGAAAGCUAGGGUAGCGAACGGGAUUAGAUACCCCGGUAGUCCUAGCCGUAAACGAUGGGCACUAGCUUGGGGUCUCCCUGUGUGAUCCCAGGUGAAGCUAAAGUAAUAAGUGCCCCGCCUGGGGANUAUGGUCGCAAGGCUGAAACUCAAAGGAAUUGACGGGGGCUCACAC